This 731-nucleotide ribosomal RNA is filed under the name Curtobacterium sp. RNAcentral describes it as "bacterial SSU rRNA". It matches the Rfam family "Bacterial small subunit ribosomal RNA", at positions 59 to 802 of the family's 1533-position model. Lineage: Bacteria; Bacillati; Actinomycetota; Actinomycetes; Micrococcales; Microbacteriaceae. The record is from RNAcentral.
CAGUCGAACGAUGAUGCCCAGCUUGCUGGGUGGAUUAGUGGCGAACGGGUGAGUAACACGUGAGUAACCUGCCCCUGACUCUGGGAUAAGCGUUGGAAACGACGUCUAAUACUGGAUAUGAUCACUGGCCGCAUGGUCUGGUGGUGGAAAGAUUUUUUGGUUGGGGAUGGACUCGCGGCCUAUCAGCUUGUUGGUGAGGUAAUGGCUCACCAAGGCGACGACGGGUAGCCGGCCUGAGAGGGUGACCGGCCACACUGGGACUGAGACACGGCCCAGACUCCUACGGGAGGCAGCAGUGGGGAAUAUUGCACAAUGGGCGAAAGCCUGAUGCAGCAACGCCGCGUGAGGGAUGACGGCCUUCGGGUUGUAAACCUCUUUUAGUAGGGAAGAAGCGAAAGUGACGGUACCUGCAGAAAAAGCACCGGCUAACUACGUGCCAGCAGCCGCGGUAAUACGUAGGGUGCAAGCGUUGUCCGGAAUUAUUGGGCGUAAAGAGCUCGUAGGCGGUUUGUCGCGUCUGCUGUGAAAUCCCGAGGCUCAACCUCGGGCUUGCAGUGGGUACGGGCAGACUAGAGUGCGGUAGGGGAGAUUGGAAUUCCUGGUGUAGCGGUGGAAUGCGCAGAUAUCAGGAGGAACACCGAUGGCGAAGGCAGAUCUCUGGGCCGUAACUGACGCUGAGGAGCGAAAGCAUGGGGAGCGAACAGGAUUAGAUACCCUGGUAGUCCAUGCCG